CUGAGGCGUGAUGACGAGGCACUACGGUGCUGAAGCAACAAAUGCCCUGCUUCCAGGAAAAGCCUCUAAGCAUCAGGUAACAUCAAAUCGUACCCCAAACCGACACAGGUGGUCAGGUAGAGAAUACCAAGGCGCUUGAGAGAACUCGGGUGAAGGAACUAGGCAAAAUGGUGCCGUAACUUCGGGAGAAGGCACGCUGACACGUAGGUGAAGUGAUUUACUCAUGGAGCUGAAGUCAGUCGAAGAUACCAGCUGGCUGCAACUGUUUAUUAAAAACACAGCACUGUGCAAACACGAAAGUGGACGUAUACGGUGUGACGCCUGCCCGGUGCCGGAAGGUUAAUUGAUGGGGUCAGCGCAAGCGAAGCUCCUGAUCGAAGCCCCGGUAAACGGCGGCCGUAACUAUAACGGUCCUAAGGUAGCGAAAUUCCUUGUCGGGUAAGUUCCGACCUGCACGAAUGGCGUAAUGAUGGCCAGGCUGUCUCCACCCGAGACUCAGUGAAAUUGAACUCGCUGUGAAGAUGCAGUGUACCCGCGGCAAGACGGAAAGACCCCGUGAACCUUUACUAUAGCUUGACACUGAACAUUGAGCCUUGAUGUGUAGGAUAGGUGGGAGGCUUUGAAGUGUGGACGCCAGUCUGCAUGGAGCCGGCCUUGAAAUACCACCCUUUAAUGUUUGAUGUUCUAACGUGGACCCGUUACCCGGGUUGCGGACAGUGUCUGGUGGGUAGUUUGACUGGGGCGGUCUCCUCCUAAAGAGUAACGGAGGAGCACGAAGGUUGGCUAAUCCUGGUCGGACAUCAGGAGGUUAGUGCAAUGGCAUAAGCCAGCUUGACUGCGAGCGUGACGGCGCGAGCAGGUGCGAAAGCAGGUCAUAGUGAUCCGGUGGUUCUGAAUGGAAGGGCCAUCGCUCAACGGAUAAAAGGUACUCCGGGGAUAACAGGCUGAUACCGCCCAAGAGUUCAUAUCGACGGCGGUGUUUGGCACCUCGAUGUCGGCUCAUCACAUCCUGGGGCUGAAGUAGGUCCCAAGGGUAUGGCUGUUCGCCAUUUAAAGUGGUACGCGAGCUGGGUUUAGAACGUCGUGAGACAGUUCGGUCCCUAUCUGCCGUGGGCGCUGGAGAACUGAGGGGGGCUGCUCCUAGUACGAGAGGACCGGAGUGGACGCAUCACUGGUGUUCGGGUUGUCAUGCCAAUGGCACUGCCCGGUAGCUAAAUGCGGAAGAGAUAAGUGCUGAAAGCAUCUAAGCACGAAACUUGCCCCGAGAUGAGUUCUCCCUGAGACUUUAGGUCUCCUGAAGGAACGUUGAAGACGACGACGUUGAUAGGCCGGGUGUGUAAGCGCAGCGAUGCGUUGAGCUAACCGGUACUAAUGAACCGUGAGGCUUAACC
RNAcentral lists this ribosomal RNA (1391 nucleotides) under Salmonella enterica subsp. enterica serovar Bovismorbificans. RNAcentral's name for it is "bacterial LSU rRNA". It matches the Rfam family "Bacterial large subunit ribosomal RNA", at positions 1556 to 2925 of the family's 2925-position model. Lineage: Bacteria; Pseudomonadati; Pseudomonadota; Gammaproteobacteria; Enterobacterales; Enterobacteriaceae. The record is from RNAcentral.